Molecule: microRNA precursor, 80 nt
Organism: Medicago truncatula (barrel medic)
Lineage: Eukaryota; Viridiplantae; Streptophyta; Magnoliopsida; Fabales; Fabaceae
Rfam family: MIR5269 microRNA precursor family
Source: Rfam
UUGGGUUAAAUCAAUGUGGGUCAUACACUUUGAAAAUAGAACCCACUUAAAAUGGUGGGACAUACAUUGAUUUUAUCCAA